This 370-nucleotide ribosomal RNA is filed under the name uncultured organism. RNAcentral's name for it is "bacterial SSU rRNA". It matches the Rfam family "Bacterial small subunit ribosomal RNA", at positions 526 to 895 of the family's 1533-position model. The record is from RNAcentral.
CGUAGGGUGCGAGCGUUAAUCGGAAUUACUGGGCGUAAAGCGUGCGCAGGCGGUUUGUUAAGAUAGGCGUGAAAUCCCCGGGCUCAACCUGGGAACUGCGCUUAUGACUGGCAAGCUAGAGUACGGCAGAGGGGGUGGAAUUCCACGUGUAGCAGUGAAAUGCGUAGAGAUGUGGAGGAACACCAAUGGCGAAGGCAGCCCCCUGGGUCGAUACUGACGCUCAUGCACGAAAGCGUGGGUAGCAAACAGGAUUAGAUACCCUGGUAGUCCACGCCCUAAACGAUGUCAACUAGGUGUUGGAUGGGUAAAACCAUUUAGUACCGGAGCUAACGCGUGAAGUUGACCGACCUGGGGAUACGGCCGCAAGGUU